Molecule: ribosomal RNA, 497 nt
Filed under: uncultured bacterium
Lineage: Bacteria
Description: partial 16S ribosomal RNA
Rfam family: Bacterial small subunit ribosomal RNA
Source: RNAcentral
GAUGAACGCUGGCGGCGUGCCUAAUACAUGCAAGUCGAGCGAACAGACGAGGAGCUUGCUCCUCUGACGUUAGCGGCGGACGGGUGAGUAACACGUGGAUAACCUACCUAUAAGACUGGGAUAACUUCGGGAAACCGGAGCUAAUACCGGAUAAUAUAUUGAACCGCAUGGUUCAAUAGUGAAAGACGGUUUUGCUGUCACUUAUAGAUGGAUCCGCACCGCAUUAGCUAGUUGGUAAGGUAACGGCUUACCAAGGCAACGAUGCGUAGCCGACCUGAGAGAGUGAUCGGCCACACUGGAACUGAGACACGGUCCAGACUCCUACGGGAGGCAGCAGUAGGGAAUCUUCCGCAAUGGGCGAAAGCUUGACGGAGCAACGCCGCGUGAGUGAUGAAGGUCUUCGGAUCGUAAAACUCUGUUAUUAGGGAAGAACAAAUGUGUAAGUAACUAUGCACGUCUUGACGGUACCUAAUCAGAAAGCCACGGCUAACUACGUG